AUUGAACGCUGGCGGCACGCUUAACACAUGCAAGUCGAACGGCAGCAGCAUCAAGCUUGCUUGAUGGCUGGCGAGUGGCGGACGGGUGAGUAACACGUAGGAAUCUACCCUGAAGAGAGGGAUAACCCGGGGAAACUCGGGCUAAGACCGCAUAAUCUCUGAGGAGGAAAGGUGGCCUCUAUUUAUAAGCUAUCGCUUUAGGAAGAGCCUACGUCGGAUUAGCUAGUUGGUGGGGUAAAAGCCUACCAAGGCGAUGAUCCGUAGCUGGUCUGAGAGGAUGGACAGCCACACUGGGACUGAGACACGGCCCAGACUCCUACGGGAGGCAG
RNAcentral lists this ribosomal RNA (329 nucleotides) under uncultured Pseudomonadota bacterium. RNAcentral's name for it is "bacterial SSU rRNA". It matches the Rfam family "Bacterial small subunit ribosomal RNA", at positions 30 to 351 of the family's 1533-position model. The record is from RNAcentral. Lineage: Bacteria; Pseudomonadati; Pseudomonadota.